Molecule: ribosomal RNA, 135 nt
Filed under: Ovis aries (sheep)
Lineage: Eukaryota; Metazoa; Chordata; Mammalia; Artiodactyla; Bovidae
Source: RNAcentral
GUCUAGAGCCAUACCACCCUGACUUCACCUGAUCUUGUCUGAUAUCGGAAGCUAAUCAGGGUCUGCCUGGAUAGUACUUGGAUGGGAGAAGCAGCUUUACUACAACCAUUUUAAAUAAGAACCACAGCAGCUACC